RNAcentral lists this ribosomal RNA (443 nucleotides) under uncultured bacterium. RNAcentral's name for it is "partial 16S ribosomal RNA". It matches the Rfam family "Bacterial small subunit ribosomal RNA", at positions 338 to 795 of the family's 1533-position model. The record is from RNAcentral.
CCUACGGGUGGCAGCAGUAGGGAAUAUUGCUCAAUGGGGGAAACCCUGAAGCAGCAACGCCGCGUGGAGGAAUAAGGCUUUCGGGUUGUAAACUUCUUUUCUCAGGGACGCAGCAAGUGACGGUACCUGAGGAAUAAGCCACGGCUAACUACGUGCCAGCAGCCGCGGUAAUACGUAGGUGGCAAGCGUUAUCCGGAUUUACUGGGUGUAAAGGGCGUGUAGGCGGGAAAGCAAGUCAGAUGUGAAAACCAUGGGCUCAACCUGUGGCCUGCAUUUGACAAUGGUAUUAUUGAGUACUGGAGAGGCAGACGGAAUUCCUAGUGUAGCGGUGAAAUGCGUAGAUAUUAGGAGGAACACCAGUGGCGAAGGCGGUCUGCUGGACAGCAACUGACGCUGAGGCGCGAAGGCGUGGGGAGCAAACAGGAUUAGAUACCCCUGUAGUC